UUGGAGAGUUUGAUCCUGGCUCAGAGCGAACGCUGGCGGCAGGCCUAACACAUGCAAGUCGAACGGACCCUUCGGGGUUAGUGGCGGACGGGUGAGUAACACGUGGGAACGUGCCUUUAGGUUCGGAAUAGCUCCUGGAAACGGGUGGUAAUGCCGAAUGUGCCCUUCGGGGGAAAGAUUUAUCGCCUUUAGAGCGGCCCGCGUCUGAUUAGCUAGUUGGUGAGGUAACGGCUCACCAAGGCGACGAUCAGUAGCUGGUCUGAGAGGAUGACCAGCCACACUGGGACUGAGACACGGCCCAGACUCCUACGGGAGGCAGCAGUGGGGAACUUGCGCAAUGGGCGAAAGCCUGACGCAGCCAUGCCGCG
Molecule: ribosomal RNA, 368 nt
Filed under: Brevundimonas diminuta
Lineage: Bacteria; Pseudomonadati; Pseudomonadota; Alphaproteobacteria; Caulobacterales; Caulobacteraceae
Description: bacterial SSU rRNA
Rfam family: Bacterial small subunit ribosomal RNA
Source: RNAcentral